AGCGGUAAAAUGCAAUAAUCCUUGGAAGACCACCUGUGGCGAAGGCGUCUGACUAGAACGGAUCCGACGGUGAGGGACGAAAGCCAGGGGAGCAAACCGGAUUAGAUACCCGAGUAGUCCUGGCCGUAAACGCUGCGGGCUAGGUGUCGCAGAUUCUUCGUGAAUCUGCGGUGUCGUAGCGAAGGCGUUAAGCCCGCCGCCUGGGGAGUAUGGUCGCAAGGCUGAAGCUUAAAGGAAUUGGCGGGGGAGCACUACAAGGGGUGCGGCGUGCGGUUUAAUCUAAUUCAACACAGAGAAUCUCACCAGGUGCGACGGCAGGAUGAAGGUCAGUCUAAAGGGCUUACCUGACGAGCCGAGAGGUAGUGCAUGGCCGCCGUCAGCUCGUGCCGUGAGGUGUCCUGUUAAGUCAGGUAACGAGCGAGACCCACAUCUCUAAUUGCUAACGACCUUUGGGAUCGAGCACUUUAGAGGGACUGCCUUGGAAACAAGGAGGAAGGUGUGGGCAACGGUAGGUCUGUAUGCUCCGAAUCUCCUGGGCUACACGCGCGCAACAAUGGUUGGGACAAUGGGAUGCAACCCCGAGAGGGGAAGCCAAUCCUCUAAACCCUAUCUUAGUCCAGAUUGUGGCUUGGAACUCAGCCACAUGACGAUGGAAUCCCUAGUAAUACGGNCUCAACAUAACCCGGGAAUAUG
RNAcentral lists this ribosomal RNA (693 nucleotides) under uncultured archaeon. RNAcentral's name for it is "bacterial SSU rRNA". It matches the Rfam family "Archaeal small subunit ribosomal RNA", at positions 628 to 1326 of the family's 1478-position model. The record is from RNAcentral.